This 754-nucleotide long non-coding RNA is filed under the name Ananas comosus (pineapple). RNAcentral's name for it is "long non-coding RNA (ACOM_LNC016830)". Lineage: Eukaryota; Viridiplantae; Streptophyta; Magnoliopsida; Poales; Bromeliaceae. The record is from RNAcentral.
AUAGCUUUGAUAUUACAUGGUUCAGUUGGUUUAUGUUAUUCGAAUUCAUGUGGUUUUGAAUGAACUAUAGAACUCGUGGAUUUUGUAAAAAGGGAAAAUGAUUUUCUACCCCUCGUGGUAGCGUUUUUAAAAGAUAAAAGUUUCCGAGUAGGGAACAGUUUUCCAAAUUUUUUCAGUGGAUUUAUGUUUAGACUUUGAAUGUAAAUCUGUGAUGUGAAUGGUGAAUGUAUGAAUGUAUAGUUAUCUCUAUAUUCAUGUAGUUGUGGUUGUAUUCGAUUUACUUAUUGUACUUGUGCGACGCCGUGCACAUACAGGGGAGACUGUCCGUGUGAACAGUGAAUUUUCUGUAUUUGUGGCGGAUCUGGCAUACCCUGGGGUCAGAUUUAAAAAAAAAAAAAAAAAAAAAAUUAGGCGCUUUUUCGCUGUGUUUCAAACUAAAAGGGACCCCGGGGUGUGACACAAUUGGUUCAAGGAUACAGAAAUAUAUGUUAAGAAUGACUAGGUUCUGCUAGCGCUAUAUCUAAAUCUGCUUUCAGCAGCAUUAACAACUAGUAGAGCAUUUGGCAAAUAGAAAAGUUAUUGAAGUAGCAUAUGCAAUUAGUUCUCAGAAAGAAAAAGUAAGAAAGAAAUAUAUCUGUUAUAAGUAGUGCUUGACCUUAUUAUCACUGUCCAUUGAUCAACCUCAAAUUUAACAUUCUACAGCUACAACAAAUAAAACAAUCCAAUCAUCUAUUCACUAAAUGAAUGAGAAAAU